This 428-nucleotide ribosomal RNA is filed under the name uncultured archaeon. RNAcentral's name for it is "bacterial SSU rRNA". It matches the Rfam family "Archaeal small subunit ribosomal RNA", at positions 474 to 903 of the family's 1478-position model. The record is from RNAcentral.
UACCUGCAGCUCAAGUGGUGACCGCUAUUAUUGGGCCUAAAACGUCCGUAGCCGGCUGAGUAAAUGCUUGGGUAAAUCGUGUAGCUUAACUAUACGAAUUCCGGGCAGACUGCUUAGCUUGAGAUCGGGAGAAGCUAGAGGUACUCCUGGGGUAGAGGUGAAAUUCUGUAAUCCUGGGGGGACCACCAGUGGCGAAGGCGUCUAGCUAGAACGGGUCUGACGGUGAGGGACGAAACCCUGGGGCGCAAACCGGAUUAGAUACCCGGGUAGUCCAGGGCGCAAACGCUGCUUGCUUGAUGUUAGUCGGGCUCCGAGCUCGACUAGUGUCGGAGAGAAGUUGUUAAGCAAGCUGCCUGGGAGUACGAUCGCAAGAUUGAAACUUAAAGGAAUUGGCGGGGGAGCACAGCAACGGGUGGAGCGUGCGGUUU